This 326-nucleotide long non-coding RNA is filed under the name Elaeis guineensis (African oil palm). RNAcentral's name for it is "long non-coding RNA (EGUI_LNC069385)". Lineage: Eukaryota; Viridiplantae; Streptophyta; Magnoliopsida; Arecales; Arecaceae. The record is from RNAcentral.
UGAUAAGAUGGAGGUCAUGGAAACUCAUCAAACCCUGUCAUCCAUCAUAUAAAAAAUUUGAUCAGCUCGAGUCUAAUUAUGAAACUCAAGGAAAUACCUUUCCAUCAGUCAUGUUACAGUGGUCAUUAACUUAAGGACUCAGCUUCUCAAAUCUCAUAGGACUGUUCCCUAUCUACUAAGAUCGAUAGAUCUCCUAUAAGUGCACACUCUACUCCUACAGCAAACCUACUGCAGCCAAAGAAUACUGUAAGGCCCUGAAUGGCUAGAGACCAUCUUUAUAUGUUCUCAAACUAUAACAAUCUCACUAUGAGCAGUUGAGGCACCAC